AGGAGCGUAGUUUAAUGGUAAAAUAACAGUCCCCAAAACUGCAAGAUAUGGGUUCAAAUCCUAUCGCUCCUG
RNAcentral lists this transfer RNA (72 nucleotides) under Caudoviricetes sp. RNAcentral describes it as "tRNA-Trp". It matches the Rfam family "tRNA". Rfam says of the family: Transfer RNA (tRNA) molecules are approximately 80 nucleotides in length. Their secondary structure includes four short double-helical elements and three loops (D, anti-codon, and T loops). Lineage: Duplodnaviria; Heunggongvirae; Uroviricota; Caudoviricetes. The record is from RNAcentral.